RNAcentral lists this ribosomal RNA (1359 nucleotides) under uncultured bacterium. RNAcentral's name for it is "bacterial SSU rRNA". It matches the Rfam family "Bacterial small subunit ribosomal RNA", at positions 28 to 1381 of the family's 1533-position model. The record is from RNAcentral.
AUUGAACGCUGGCGGCAUGCCUUACAUAUGCAAGUCGAACGGCAGCACGGAGCUUGCUCUGGUGGCGAGUGGCGAACGGGUGAGUAAUAUAUCGGAACGUACCCUAGAGUGGGGGAUAACGUAGCGAAAGUUACGCUAAUACCGCAUACGAUCUAAGGAUGAAAGUGGGGGAUCGCAAGACCUCAUGCUCGUGGAGCGGCCGAUAUCUGAUUAGCUAGUUGGUAGGGUAAAAGCCUACCAAGGCAUCGAUCAGUAGCUGGUCUGAGAGGACGACCAGCCACACUGGAACUGAGACACGGUCCAGACUCCUACGGGAGGCAGCAGUGGGGAAUUUUGGACAAUGGGCGAAAGCCUGAUCCAGCAAUGCCGCGUGAGUGAAGAAGGCCUUCGGGUUGUAAAGCUCUUUUGUCAGGGAAGAAACGGUGGGAGCUAAUAUCUCUUGCUAAUGACGGUACCUGAAGAAUAAGCACCGGCUAACUACGUGCCAGCAGCCGCGGUAAUACGUAGGGUGCAAGCGUUAAUCGGAAAUACUGGGCGUAAAGCGUGCGCAGGCGGGUUUGUAAGUCUGAUGUGAAAUCCCCGGGCUCAACCUGGGGAAUUGCAUUGGAGACUGCAAAGGCUAAAUUUUGCCCGGGGGGGGUAGAAUUUCCACGGUUACCAGUGAAAAGGGUAGAUAAGGGGGGGAACCCCCGAGGGCGAAGGCCGCCCCCCUGGUCCAGGAUGGACGUUCAAGCACGAAAGCGGGGGGAGCAAACAGGAUUAGAUACCCCGGGGUAGUCCACGCCCUAAACGAUGUCUACUAGUUGUCGGUUCUUAAUUGACUUGUAAACGCAGCUAACGCGUGAAGUAGACCGCCUGGGGAGUACGGUCGCAAGAUUAAAACUCAAAGGAAUUGACGGGGACCCGCACAAGCGGUGGAUGAUGUGGAUUAAUUCGAUGCAACGCGAAAAACCUUACCUACCCUUGACAUGGCUGGAAUCCUUGAGAGAUCAGGGAGUGCUCGAAAGAGAACCAGUACACAGGUGCUGCAUGGCUGUCGUCAGCUCGUGUCGUGAGAUGUUGGGUUAAGUCCCGCAACGAGCGCAACCCUUGUCAUUAGUUGCUACGAAAGGGCACUCUAAUGAGACUGCCGGUGACAAACCGGAGGAAGGUGGGGAUGACGUCAAGUCCUCAUGGCCCUUAUGGGUAGGGCUUCACACGUCAUACAAUGGUACAUACAGAGCGCCGCCAACCCGCGAGGGGGAGCUAAUCGCAGAAAGUGUAUCGUAGUCCGGAUUGUAGUCUGCAACUCGACUGCAUGAAGUUGGAAUCGCUAGUAAUCGCGGAUCAGCAUGUCGCGGUGAAUACGUUACAGGGUCU